AUUGAACGCUGGCGGUAUGCCUAACACAUGCAAGUCGAACGGCAGCACAGUAAGAGCUUGCUCUUACGGGUGGCGAGUGGCGGACGGGUGAGGAAUACAUCGGAAUCUACUUUUGCGUGGGGGAUAACGUAGGGAAACUUACUCUAAUACCGCAUACGACCUACGUGUGAAAGCAGGGGAUCUUCGGACCUUGCUCGAUUGAAUGAGCCGAUGUCGGAUUAGCUAGUUGGCGGGGUAAAGGCCCACCAAGGCGACGAUCAGUAGCUGGUCUGAGAGGAUGAUCAGCCACACUGGAACUGAGACACGGUCCAGACUCCUACGGGAGGCAGCAGUGGGGAAUAUUGGACAAUGGGCGAAAGCCUGAUCCAGCAAUACCGCGUGGGUGAAGAAGGCCUUCGGGUUGUAAAGCACUUUUGUUGGGAAAGAAAAGCAGCAGGUUAAUACCCCGCUGUUCUGACGGUACCCAAAGAAUAAGCACCGGCUAACUUCGUG
RNAcentral lists this ribosomal RNA (492 nucleotides) under uncultured bacterium. RNAcentral's name for it is "partial 16S ribosomal RNA". It matches the Rfam family "Bacterial small subunit ribosomal RNA", at positions 30 to 507 of the family's 1533-position model. The record is from RNAcentral.